AUUGAACGCUGGCGGCAGGCUUAACACAUGCAAGUCGAGCGGGGUGAUGGUGCUUGCACUAUCACUUAGCGGCGGACGGGUGAGUAAUGCUUAGGAAUCUGCCUAUUAGUGGGGGACAACAUCUCGAAAGGGAUGCUAAUACCGCAUACGUCCUACGGGAGAAAGCAGGGGAUCACUUGUGACCUUGCGCUAAUAGAUGAGCCUAAGUCGGAUUAGCUAGUUGGUGGGGUAAAGGCCUACCAAGGCGACGAUCUGUAGCGGGUCUGAGAGGAUGAUCCGCCACACGGGGACUGAAGAACGGCCCAGACUCCUACGGGAGGCAGCAGGUGGGAAUAUUGGACAAUGGGGGGAACCCUGAUCCAUCCAUGCCGCGUGUGUGAAGAAGGCCUUAUGGUUGUAAAGCACUUUAAGCGAGUAGGAGGCUCUUUUGGUUAAUACCCAAGAUGAGUGGACGUUACUCGCAGAAUAAGCACCGGCUAACUCUGUGCCAGCCGCCGCAGUAA
Molecule: ribosomal RNA, 503 nt
Filed under: uncultured bacterium
Lineage: Bacteria
Description: partial 16S ribosomal RNA
Rfam family: Bacterial small subunit ribosomal RNA
Source: RNAcentral